This 403-nucleotide long non-coding RNA is filed under the name Theobroma cacao (cacao). Its description in RNAcentral is "long non-coding RNA (TCAC_LNC006382)". Lineage: Eukaryota; Viridiplantae; Streptophyta; Magnoliopsida; Malvales; Malvaceae. The record is from RNAcentral.
UAAAAUAAAUUUUUAUAAAAAUAUUCGUAAAUAAUUUUUCGCACAUGAAAGUAAAGUAAAAAUUGUAUGAAUAGAAAUACAGAUAACCAAAAUAUAAGUUUCGAUUUGCAAUGACACGUGGGCUCCAAUUGACCAAGAGGAUGUAAGACUGUGAACUCUUACUUUCUAUAAUGCAGUUUCGAGCUUAGUUCUCGUCUUACUCGACUAUCUACAAACUGUCCUGAGCCUGAAAAAUGUAUAGGAAGAAGGGGUGAGAUUUUAUAAUCCCAGUGAGUAAACAGAUACCAUCUAAAGCAUCUAAAGCCGAGUAAAUGGAGACAAUUAAAAUAAGUCAUCAUACUGUAAUUUCAUUACCUUUAAGUUCAUUUCAACCAAAUAAAAUAAAUCCAUAUAAAUCGAGUAA